CCUACGGGAGGCAGCAGUGAGGAAUAUUGGUCAAUGGUCGCAAGCCUGAACCAGCCAAGUAGCGUGCAGGAUGACUGCCCUACGGGUUGUAAACUUCUUUUAUGCGGGAAUAAAGUGAGUCACGUGUGCCUUUUUGUAUGUACUUUAUGAAUAAGGAUCGGCUAACUCCGUGCCAGCAGCCGCGGUAAUACGGAGGAUCCGAGCGUUAUCCGGAUUUAUUGGGUUUAAAGGGAGCGUAGAUGGGUUGUUAAGUCAGUUGUGAAAGGCUGCGGCUCAACCGUAAAAUUGCAAUUGAUACUGGCAGGCUUGAGUACAGUUGAGGUAGGCGGAAUUCGUGGUGUAGCGGUGAAAUGCUUAGAUAUCACGAAGAACUCCGAUUGCGAAGGCAGCUUACUAAACUGCUACUGACACUGAUGCUCGAAAGUGUGGGUAUCAAACAGGAUUAGAUACCCUAGUAGUC
RNAcentral lists this ribosomal RNA (460 nucleotides) under uncultured bacterium. Its description in RNAcentral is "partial 16S ribosomal RNA". It matches the Rfam family "Bacterial small subunit ribosomal RNA", at positions 338 to 795 of the family's 1533-position model. The record is from RNAcentral.